Non-coding RNA from Physcomitrium patens, 2286 nucleotides. The record is from RefSeq and is a predicted model, not a curated record. NCBI's taxonomy places the organism in Eukaryota, Viridiplantae, Streptophyta, Bryopsida, Funariales, Funariaceae.
CCACCACCGUUGUGAAGACAGUUUUGGAUACCUCAGCUCAGACUUCAUUAUUGUUUGAGCAACGAUACAGUAAUCUACUUAUUAGGGUAGCGUGUUCUGACUGAUAAAAGCAACAGAAAUUCUGGUUAUGAUCCAGGGCAAUUUUGGUUCUUGUUAUGUUUGCGAUACUCCGACACGACACCAGCUUCCUGAAAGGCAGAACUCCGAUUUGCUGCCAGUUUAGGCUGUGAAAGGACACGAUCCGGGAGCCAUCAACCAAUAGCAUCGAAAUUAGAUUAGGAACGAUGGAAUUGUCUUAAUGAAACCCACACAUCUCACAGGGAGCGAGCGGCCCAAGGCAUACGAGAUAUUCCAUCUCCCGUAGAGAAUCUGCGGCAACUUUGUCACCUACAGCGCAGGCGAAAGCAGUCGUGAUCAUCAUCAUACCAAUUUAUUUGCAUAUUAUUACGUAGCUUUUGACACCAGAGUCGUCGGGAGGGUCCCAUCCGCUGCUCCUCCACUUCGCUUUGGAGUUUCGAGCAUUUGUCACACCUGCAAGGACAUGCAAUCCGUCCCCCCAAUCGCAAGUUGGCUCUGCAUCGACAUCUAUCUAUGACCCGGAAUCGCACGGCAAUGCUAGCGAAGACCUUUUCCAACUACAAGUUUCAGUGUUGAGUCUUACAAGUGUCCAAGGAAAUAUAAUCCACAUGCCUAUGCGUCAAAUAUUAGAGAUAGCUCAUCCAGAAUAUCAAUAAGCUGAAGGGGAUAUGUUCAUAUUCGCGAUAGUUAUGUUGUGAAUCGUACAAGAGUCACGAAGUCGCUUCCUAACUCGUGGUGUGGGUGCCAGUAUUUUUGGUGGAGCCGACUCAGCUCUGUCGGUGUUCAUGAUUCGAACCAAACAGCCUCGCUCCGUCAUUAAACCCUGGCCUAUUGACAAGAAAAUGAAUGGUACUCUGAAAAUUUGGCUCCUCCAACUGGAAAACAUCUAGACCAGUAAUCUUGGACAUAUUCCUCCUCACCGGCAUCGUUCAUUCCGUGCGGUUCAAUUUCGCUUCACAGCUUUUGCUAAACUGCUCCACUUCUACAACCUACGCUUUCUGAGGUAAGCUCACAGAUGUCGAGAACGCCUUCGUCGUAUUUCCAGAAAGGAUUGCCCAUGCGGUGAUAUAUCUCAACGACAUCGAAUUCCCCACACAUCCAGCCGAUGAACCUUCUGCGACGACACAUUAAUUCUCAUCGUCUUUCUUGGUAUGUGAUUACUAAGCCGUCCAAUUGUAAAUCCUGCUCAUCUUGAUCACUAUGCAUGCUUCAAAUUGGAGCCCACCGAGUUGAAUCCCACCCAAAUAUGAACCACUCGUAUUUAUGCCGAUUGAUUACGUUCUCCACAAAGAGUUGUCGAUGUGUUGUAACCCAGGAUAUCUGAAUUUGAUGUGAGCUGUGGAAGCACUUGAGGUUCUAUGCGGUGCAAUCAAUCCAGUGCUGAGAGAAGCAUCCGCAGAUGGCACCAACUUUGCGUCUGUUAGCAGUUCGGCAAGAUAUGUGACAGCCUGGAGGAAGGAUCUUGAGCAUUACCAUGCUCCCUUCUCCCAGGAUAUACAGCUGCGGUGGUUUGAGAGCUGCGAAGCUAUACGAAAAUAUGAACCCCAGAACUCCGUUCAAGACUUGCUGCGGGAGGGUCCUGUAGCUUCAACAAGGACGUCACAAGAGGUUUCGCCCGGAUGGUCGGCAACGAAAAGCGUAACUACGAGGGGAACGAAGCCAUGCCUCAACGACAAGGGUCACCUCGGAUGGGACAGCAUCCACUCCCAACCAAUUCAACACAAUCGCCGUGACCGCCUUCCUGCUGGGCUAGCACAUUUACCCCUUGGGAGUGGUAUCUUCCUUCUCCAGUUUCUACAAGAGGAGGAUUUAGACAAUUACUCCUUCCAUCCCCAGCAGUGAUCGUGUUGCUGAUGUAGCCGACUGUUGCCAUGCGUUGAUGUAUCCAAGUAUCUCAGAUUUACUGUUGCAGUCGACAAUUUACGAGGUGCACUGUAGUAUACUGAGUUUCAGAUGAAUAUUACGCCUUCGUGGUAGCGUUGCUGGACCAGAAACUCAUUCCUCCAGACCUCGCUGCAAUGCGUUUCAAUCCUGUGGUGCGUGAUUGUGAGUAAUUUCGAGUGGAAAGAGAGAGAGAGAGAGAGAGAGAGAGAUAGGCCAUGACAGUGGUUACAUGUUGGAUUGAAUGAACUUACUUUACCUGGCCAAAGUGUACUACUAUUCCCACUGCGACUCGAAGUAAGUAAAAUACCUGUGAAUUGCCUAAAA